UACGUAGGGGGCUAGCGUUAUCCGGAAUUACUGGGCGUAAAGGGUGCGUAGGUGGUUUCUUAAGUCAGAGGUGAAAGGCUACGGCUCAACCGUAGUAAGCCUUUGAAACUGGGAAACUUGAGUGCAGGAGAGGAGAAUGGAAUUCCUAGUGUAGCGGUGAAAUGCGUAGAGAUUAGGAAGAACACCAGUGGCGAAGGCGAUUCUCUGGACUGUAACUGACGCUGGAGGCUCGAAAGCGUGGGGAGCAAACAGGAUUAGAUACCCCCGUAGUCCCUGAGCGGG
RNAcentral lists this ribosomal RNA (282 nucleotides) under uncultured prokaryote. Its description in RNAcentral is "partial 16S ribosomal RNA". It matches the Rfam family "Bacterial small subunit ribosomal RNA", at positions 524 to 803 of the family's 1533-position model. The record is from RNAcentral.